AUUGAACGCUGGCGGCAGGCCUAACACAUGAAAGUCGAGCGGAGCGGCGGACGGGUGAGUAAUUCCUAGGAAUCUGCCUGGUAGUGGGUGAUAACGUACGGAAACGGGCGCUAAUACCGCAUACUCUCAGUUGAGCCUAGGUCGGCUUAGCUAGUUGGUGGGUUAAAGGCCUACCAAGGAGACGAUCCGUAACGGGUCUGAGAGGAUGAUCAGUCAACCUGGAACAGAGACAAGGUCCAGACUACUACGGGAGGAAGCUGUGGGGAAUAUUUGACAAUGGGCGCAAGCCUGAUCCAGCCAUGCCGCUUGUGUGAAGAAGGUCUGCGGAUUGUAAAGCACUUUAAGUUGGGAGGCGUUACCAACAGAAUAAGCACCGGCUAACUUCGUGCCAGCCGCGGCGGGAAUAC
This 407-nucleotide ribosomal RNA is filed under the name uncultured bacterium. RNAcentral's name for it is "partial 16S ribosomal RNA". It matches the Rfam family "Bacterial small subunit ribosomal RNA", at positions 30 to 526 of the family's 1533-position model. The record is from RNAcentral.